This 372-nucleotide ribosomal RNA is filed under the name uncultured bacterium. Its description in RNAcentral is "bacterial SSU rRNA". It matches the Rfam family "Bacterial small subunit ribosomal RNA", at positions 527 to 896 of the family's 1533-position model. The record is from RNAcentral.
AGAGGGCGCAAGCGUUGUUCGGAUUUAUUGGGCGUAAAGGGCGCGUAGGCGGGCGAGCAAGUCCGGUGUAAAAUCUUCACCGCUCAACGGGAAGAAGCCAUUGGAAACUGCUCGUCUUGAGGCCACUAGAGGGAACCGGAAUUCCUGGUGUAGCGGUGGAAUGCGUAGAUAUCAGGAAGAACACCGAUUGCGAAGGCGGGUUCCUGGGGUGGUCCUGACGCUGAGGCGCGAAAGCCAGGGGAGCAAACGGGAUUAGAUACCCCGGUAGUCCUGGCUGUAAACGAUGAGUGCUAGGUGCGAGAGGUAUCGACCCCCUUCGCGCCGCCGCUAACGCAUUAAGCACUCCGCCUGGGGAGUACGGUCGCAAGGCUG